This 324-nucleotide ribosomal RNA is filed under the name uncultured eukaryote. RNAcentral describes it as "partial 18S ribosomal RNA". It matches the Rfam family "Eukaryotic small subunit ribosomal RNA", at positions 1470 to 1796 of the family's 1831-position model. The record is from RNAcentral.
CCCUUAGAUGUUCUGGGCUGCACGCGCGCUACACUGAAGCUAUCAACACGUUUUCCCUCCCUGAGAAGGGCGGGUAACCUUUUGAAUCAGCUUCGUAGUAGGGAUCGGGGCUUGCAAUUGUUCCCCGUGAACCAGGAAUUCCUAGUAGACGCGAGUCAUAAGCUCGCAUCGAUUAAGUCCCUGCCCUUUGUACACACCGCCCGUCGCUACUACCGAUUGAACGUUUUAGUGAGGCAUUUGGACCGACGCAUCUCAGUUUAACCGCUGGUUUGUGUUGGAAAGACUUCCAAACUUGAGCGUUUAGAGGAAGUAAAAGUCGUAACA